UUGCUGGAAGAAAAGGGAGGAUUAAAAAGUCAAAAUUCACAUCUCAAAUUUAGAAAAUGAAAAGCCUACCAAGUUUUGUUUUAUUCAUUUUGGUCAAACCUUUGAAUCUCAUGUGAUCAGUCAACACUCACAGUAGAUUUUAAUCAAAAGGGUAAUCAGUUUUUCACAACAUCUUUGUGAGUUUUAUUAAAAUCCAUCCCAUCAUGGUUAAGGAGCUAUUUUGCAAACAGACAAAGUUAACUCCACUAGAGCUUGUGUGGUGUGUAGCAAGAGGAUGACUCGAACUAUCAUGAAUGCAAAUUUUACCUCAAUAAGACAAAAUAUGAUCAUUUCUGACCUAAAGCUUAUAAUUAGCUGCUUUAUGCUAACAUGUACUAAUAAUGCUAAUAAAAGACCAAAGCUAAACACUACAUCCUUCAUUUUGAUUAAAAGGUGCAAUUUGUAAGGAUUCUACAGUGAAAUAAUCACAAAACAGUCUAAUGUCUCAGCCAUGUUUGAAGGAAGGUUAUAUUGAAACAGAUUUUAUCCUCUGCCAGCUGGAGGGGUUGGGGGUUCAGUUUUCCUCCUUUAGGAAAAGAAACUGAAAGUGGGACGUAGUUGCUGUUUACACUCUGUGUUUGCGAGGUUGCCAAAUCAGCAGCGAGCUAAUGCUUGCGCAGCAGCGCAAUCACUGUAAUUUGACUCCGGCAGUCAAAAAGCUCCAGAGCUGUUUAAAUAACUGAAGCCAGUAAACAGGAACAACAAAAAAGUUAUUUCUUAAACCCCAAAGAAGCCAGGGCAUUAUUUUGUUUUACUUUAAUAUUAGGUGGAGUAGGCUAGAGGCUAACGUUGAGCUAACAAUGCUAACAGUGAAUUAGAUGCAAAUAUACGGAUCUAAAAAUGUUUCAAGCUACUUUUUCAGUUACCAACAACUCUAUAUUACGGUGAAAUGUGUGUGCGAAGUGAGUAAUGAGUCAGUUGUGGUGUUUUACUUCCUUUAAUGAGUCGUUCAGAAUUAUAACAGCAAGCUAACGGAAACACGGCAAGCAAUCUCACUUCCUGAAAUGCGCAGUGAGAAAAGUGUAGUAAGUUCCCUACUAUCAAACACCCAAGAGUGCUAACACCAGAUUUGACAACAUAUUUAUCAGCUUACUGACUCAUUUUUGCUUGUCUUCUAGAUCCUUCUGGUGCUGAUCCGCAACAGUCAACUCACAUAACGGCAGUGACUCCACUGGGAAUUCCCAUCCAACCUGAUGUGAAGGAGUGGGAGCGGCGUUUGCUGCUUAGCCACUCCUCACUGCUGGGGUCGAGAGAGAGAGGGGAGGAGGAGGUCUCCUCUCCAGGAAAUCUGUGCGUCACCGACUGAGUCCAACUCCACUUAUCAUCACCUGAGGAGCAGCACAAGAGGAAAGCUGAGUAGAAAAUGCAACACAAGUCUUUAUGCAGCCAUGUGCGGUUUCACAAUUACGUUUUGGCGCCCUCUAGUGGUUGAUCAUAACAGCUGCUUCUUUUGUUGGCGGCAUCAGAAAUCUAGGGUAACACUUACUAGGGAGGCCUGUUUCUGAGGAUGAGAUGGUUGAAGGCUCAUUCCAGGAUUUCUGGGUUUCAGUAUUUUCCGUUUUACUCGUUGGUCUGUGUCUGGGAAACGUGCUGGUGAUGUCAUUCUGAGAGGAGCAGCGACAGCUGGCUUGAUCCUGACAUUUAAAACACACGGAGGGCUUUCUGAGGACAAAGGAAAGCGAUAAAUCAUCAUUGUGUAGAGAUUCCAUACAAAUUCUGGGUUGAUCUUACGUUUUUAGAGUCUUACAAGAACACGGGCAGGUCCUGGUCAACACGAACGCUCGAUCGUAAACUUGCAGGAUCCUUUUGGCCUUUGAAAAAUGACAAUGCGUUUUAUUAGUGGCUCAUUAAUUAGGCUGUGGCGCCAGUGAGGUGUGAUAUAACCAUGCUCACCUGUGCUUGCUUGGAUCUUCAUGAUCCAUUUUUUCAUAGUGAAGCGUGAGGAGGUGUUGAACAGAUAUUCGGACCCAUCCCGAAGCCUGAAGACCAGAAAACCCACAAUGCAUCACCUACUGCCUUUAAAUCUGUGUGAGCUAAAAGGUUAUUACGUUUUAGUACCGUAGUCGAAAGCAGUUGGGUUUUUUGGUGUAAUCUGGAGCAGGUGAACACUCAGCUCCCUUCAGGUUCAGUGGAAGGCCGUAAGCAGAACUCUGCGGCACAAACCCAGCAUUAGUCACCAGACAUUCAACUGCUCCCAGAUAACAUUCCCAGCUUCUUCCUGCUUACUCGCAGAGUGUCCUUUCUAUCCUGGAAGAAGCAUAAGGUGUGUCGGUGCAGGACGGCGUGGUAGGAGCUCCAGCCUCUGGAGGCCGCCUGUGAAAACAAGAUAAGAGCGUUGUGCAGCUGACUGGGAACUUUACGUGUGCUGACUGCAUCAGAUUCAACAUUCCUUACUUUCUUUCCUCCCAGCUGCAGCUUGUGCUUCCUCUCCAGCGUCCCCUCCAUCGACUGCAGCUCGGGUUUCCCGCUCUGAAUGGGAUUUAAAUAGAGAAACACAUAAUUCAGGAACAAGCAGGAUUCCCAAUUGGACACUGAAUUGAUUUUUGUCUCACCAGGGUGAAACAGCGCCCUCCAGUGGACAGAUGCUCUUGUGUAUUCCCUCCUUUUUCCUGCUGAAAAGACCCAUCUGAGCCCGCGUGGACGGACUGGUCGUGUUCAGGAGAGAAGAAACAUCAGAAACGUUGCAUUGAUGUCAGCUAAGAACUAUCACUUAGCACCAAGCCCAUCUGGUGUCCAGCUCCAACAUCUGGCUGCAAUUAGCCAAAGUAACAGAAGACUGCCGCGCCAGCCCCUAGAAACAAGAUUCUGCACUACUGCUAACACAAAGGAACAAGGACAAAGGCACAGCACCCCUGCUACAGAAACAACACUGAACAGAGCUCUUCGCUUCAACACAACGGGGACAAGCUGUAAAGUUUAGGAACGUUUUAUUGCUUUAAAUAAAAAAAUCCCACCGGUUCAACAUCCACCGCUCGCUCCUUUGGCCAGACUCAAGGUCUGCCAUUGGUCCUUGAGCUGGCUGAGCUGCUUCUUCACAAGGUCAGAUGUGGGGUUCAGCCUGCAGAUCAGCUGCUCGCCCAUCUGUGGAAGGACAUGGUACUGGUUACUGGAGCUGCAGCAGCAACGCUGACAACAUUAUCUUCAUGGUUUGUCCUGAAAAAGCCUAAACGCAACCCUCUGAGCUUCCGCAGGGCCUGGAUGUAGAGGGUGGUAAUCCAUGACCCGUCGUUUCAUGUUUGUCGUCACGUUUUCAGCGAUUAAUGCCUGGAUUAGAUCACCUGUGGGGACACUUAAAACAACCAUUUAUUUAGUCCUUCUAGAUGCUGAUGAUCAUUUUUUACCUGGUUGAGCUGAAUAAACGUGUUCUCAAAGUC
Molecule: non-coding RNA, 3413 nt
Organism: Nothobranchius furzeri (turquoise killifish)
Lineage: Eukaryota; Metazoa; Chordata; Actinopteri; Cyprinodontiformes; Nothobranchiidae
Source: RefSeq, a predicted model, not a curated record